CAGUCGCCGCGGUAAUACGGAGGGAGCUAGCGUUGUUCGGAAUUACUGGGCGUAAAGCGCGCGUAGGCGGUUACUCAAGUCAGAGGUGGAAGCCCGGGGCUCAACCCCGGAACUGCCUUUGAAACUAGGUAACUAGAAUCUUGGAGAGGUCAGUGGAAUUCCGAGUGUAGAGGUGAAAUUCGUAGAUAUUCGGAAGAACACCAGUGGCGAAGGCGACUGACUGGACAAGUAUUGACGCUGAGGUGCGAAAGCGUGGGGAGCAAACAGGAUUAGAUACCCGGGUAGUCCCUGUCUCUUAUAC
RNAcentral lists this ribosomal RNA (301 nucleotides) under uncultured bacterium. Its description in RNAcentral is "partial 16S ribosomal RNA". It matches the Rfam family "Bacterial small subunit ribosomal RNA", at positions 509 to 807 of the family's 1533-position model. The record is from RNAcentral.